RNAcentral lists this transfer RNA (81 nucleotides) under Candidatus Apopatosoma intestinale. RNAcentral's name for it is "Ruminococcus sp. CAG:724 tRNA". It matches the Rfam family "tRNA". From Rfam's summary of the family: Transfer RNA (tRNA) molecules are approximately 80 nucleotides in length. Lineage: Bacteria; Bacillati; Bacillota; Clostridia; Eubacteriales. The record is from Rfam by way of RNAcentral.
GCGAGAGUGGCGGAACUGGUAGACGCGCACGUUUGAGGGGCGUGUGGUUUUUCCAUACGGGUUCAAGUCCCGUUUCUCGCA